Molecule: non-coding RNA, 207 nt
Organism: Pelobates cultripes (western spadefoot toad)
Lineage: Eukaryota; Metazoa; Chordata; Amphibia; Anura; Pelobatidae
Source: the annotation of a GenBank genome assembly
AAAAGGACAAUGAACAAAACACUAAGAAAUUUAAAUUUAACAAUAUCAAGGUAAAGGAAAAUACAUACUAUGUAAAAAUAGCAAUACAAAGCAGUUAGGAAAAACACGGGUAAAAUACAGCACACAGAAACAGAUGUCAGGUACUUAGCUGAGUAGGCAGCAGCAAAGAAAGAGGAGUGGCUUAGGGUUACAUGGGUGGAUAUGUUC